GCAUAUCAAUAAGCGGAGGAAAAGAAACCAACAGGGAUUGCCCUAGUAACGGCGAGUGAAGCGGCAACAGCUCAAAUUUGAAAUCUGGCUCUUUCAGAGUCCGAGUUGUAAUUUGCAGAGGGCGCUUUGGCUUUGGCAGCGGUCCAAGUUCCUUGGAACAGGACGUCACAGAGGGUGAGAAUCCCGUACGUGGUCGCUAGCUAUUGCCGUGUAAAGCCCCUUCGACGAGUCGAGUUGUUUGGGAAUGCAGCUCUAAAUGGGAGGUAAAUUUCUUCUAAAGCUAAAUAUUGGCCAGAGACCGAUAGCGCACAAGUAGAGUGAUCGAAAGAUGAAAAGCACUUUGGAAAGAGAGUCAAACAGCACGUGAAAUUGUUGAAAGGGAAGCGCUUGCAGCCAGACUUGCUUGCAGUUGCUCAUCCGGGCUUUUGCCCGGUGCACUCUUCUGUAGGCAGGCCAGCAUCAGUUUGGGCGGUGGGAUAAAGGUCUCUGUCACGUACCUUCCUUCGGGUUGGCCUUAUAGGGGAGACGCCAUACCACCAGCCUGGACUGAGGUCCGCGCAUCUGCUAGGAUGCUGGCGUAAUGGCUGUAAGCGGCCCGUCUUGAAACACGGACCAAGGAGUCUAACAUCUAUGCGAGUGUUUGGGUGUCAAGCCCGAACGCGUAAUGAAAGUGAACGGAGGUGGGAACCCGCAAGGGUGCACCAUCGACCGAUCCUGAAGUUUACGGAAGGAUUUGAGUAAGAGCAUGGCUGUUGGGACCCGAAAGAUGGUGAACUAUGCUUGAAUAGGGUGAAGCCAGAGGAAACUCUGGUGGAGGCUCGCAGCGGUUCUGACGUGCAAAUCGAUCGUCAAAUUUGGGCAUAGGGGCGAAAGACUAAUCGAACUAUCUAGUAGCUGGUCUGCGAG
RNAcentral lists this ribosomal RNA (906 nucleotides) under Curvularia aeria. RNAcentral describes it as "LSU rRNA". It matches the Rfam family "Eukaryotic large subunit ribosomal RNA", at positions 38 to 962 of the family's 3401-position model. Lineage: Eukaryota; Fungi; Ascomycota; Dothideomycetes; Pleosporales; Pleosporaceae. The record is from RNAcentral.